Molecule: ribosomal RNA, 389 nt
Filed under: uncultured bacterium
Lineage: Bacteria
Description: bacterial SSU rRNA
Rfam family: Bacterial small subunit ribosomal RNA
Source: RNAcentral
AUUGAACGCUGGCGGCAUGCUUUACACAUGCAAGUCGAACGGCAGCGCGGGGCAACCUGGCGGCGAGUGGCGAACGGGUGAGUAAUAUAUCGGAACGUACCCAAGAGUGGGGGAUAACGUAGCGAAAGUUACGCUAAUACCGCAUACGAUCUAAGGAUGAAAGCAGGGGACCGCAAGGCCUUGUGCUCCUGGAGCGGCCGAUAUCUGAUUAGCUAGUUGGUGAGGUAAAGGCUCACCAAGGCGACGAUCAGUAGCUGGUCUGAGAGGACGACCAGCCACACUGGAACUGAGACACGGUCCAGACUCCUACGGAGGCAGCAGUGGGGAAUUUUGGACAAUGGGCGCAAGCCUGAUCCAGCAAUGCCGCGUGAGUGAAGAAGGCCUCGGUU